Molecule: transfer RNA, 77 nt
Filed under: bacterium
Lineage: Bacteria
Also listed under: 1 other name
Description: tRNA-Ala
Rfam family: tRNA
About the family: Transfer RNA (tRNA) molecules are approximately 80 nucleotides in length.
Source: RNAcentral
GGGCCUGUAGCUCAGCUGGUUAGAGCACCUGCUUUGCAAGCAGGGGGUCAGGAGUUCGAAUCUCCUCAGGUCCACCA